Molecule: long non-coding RNA, 1027 nt
Filed under: Medicago truncatula (barrel medic)
Lineage: Eukaryota; Viridiplantae; Streptophyta; Magnoliopsida; Fabales; Fabaceae
Description: lncRNA gene25480
Source: RNAcentral
GUUGCAUAGAUUGUAAGAAACAUAAAGAUGGGGAUAUGGGAUUGAGAGAGCAGAUUGACAUAAAAAAAAAGACUAACAUUCAGUUGCAUACAACACAUGAUAAUAAUUCACAUUCCCGCAGGAAGAACGUUACAAGAAAGUAUACAUAACAAAAAACAUAAUGACCAUUCACUUUCCGGGAACAAAGUUGGUGGCAUAGGCCCAUGCGUUGUUGUUGACUGGGUCGGCAAGAUGAUCGGCAAGGUUCUCCAAAGGUCCCUUUCCGGUCACAAUAGCCUGAACAAAGAAUCCGAACAUAGAGAACAUGGCUAAUCUACCGUUCUUGAGUUCCUUAACCUUCAACUCUGCGAAAGCCUCUGGGUCGUCAGCUAGGCCCAAUGGGUCAAAGCUGCCUCCUGGGUAUAGUGGGUCAACAACCUCACCAAGAGGACCACCAGCAAUACGGUAACCUUCAACAGCGCCCAUCAAGAUAACUUGGGUAGCCCAGAUGGCAAGAAUGCUCUGAGCAUGGACCAAACUUGGGUUACCCAAGUAGUCAAGUCCACCCUCGCUAAAGAUCUGGGAUCCGGCCUUGAACCAUACAGCCUCACCGAAUUUAACACCAUUGCGAGACAAAAGCUCUGGGAAAACACAUCCCAAGGCUCCCAACAUAGCCCACCUACUAUGGAUGACUUCAAGUUCACGGUUCUUGGCGAAUGUCUCUGGGUCAGCAGAAAGUCCAGCAGUGUCCCAUCCGUAGUCACCUGGGAACUCUCCAGUCAAGUAAGACGGGGGCUCACCAGAGAAUGGGCCUAAGUACUUAACACGGUCUGGGCCGUACCAUGGGCUUCCUGAGGAGGCUACUUUCUUGGUGGUAGCAGCCUUCCUCAUGGUGAACCUUGCAGCUCCCAAUUCUUGGCUUGAAGGGGUUAGCUUGACUGGCUUGCCAGCCAAGGUUGGUGAAGAGAGAGCCAUGGAUGAUGCGGCCAUUUUGCAAUGAAAUUAAAAUGCUUGUUGUGCUUUUGAUAAAUGUACUCGUAUGAAUGGU